UCCUACGGGGGGCAGCAGUAGGGAAUUUUCGUCAAUGGGCGCAAGCCUGAACGAGCAAUGCCGCGUGAACGAGGAAGGUCUUCGGAUCGUAAAGUUCUGUUGAAGGGGAAAAAGAGCGGAGAGAGGAAAUGGUCUCCGAUUGAUAUUACCCUUCGAGGAAGUCACGGCUAACUACGUGCCAGCAGCCGCGGUAAUACGUAGGUGGCGGGCGUUAUCCGGAAUGAUUGGGCGUAAAGGGUGCGUAGGCGGCCUGCUAAGUCUGGAGUGAAAGGUACCGGCUCAACCGGUACAGGCUCUGGAAACUG
RNAcentral lists this ribosomal RNA (305 nucleotides) under uncultured bacterium. RNAcentral describes it as "bacterial SSU rRNA". It matches the Rfam family "Bacterial small subunit ribosomal RNA", at positions 337 to 635 of the family's 1533-position model. The record is from RNAcentral.